CUCUUGGUUCUGAGGUUGUGAAACAGUGGCUCGCCGAAGUACUAAUUCUUCGCUCUGAAGGCUUUGUUCUUGAUCCGGGAGUUGUAGUAGUGGACUACUUUCUGCUUGUAGGCUGCCAUCCGAACUUGAGCUAUCUUCCAUUUUUCUUCUAACAAGUUGAGGUUGGCCUUGAGAUCCUAUGAGUUGCGCUGCUCAUCGAAUGCCAUGACUCGCGCC
Molecule: long non-coding RNA, 216 nt
Filed under: Elaeis guineensis (African oil palm)
Lineage: Eukaryota; Viridiplantae; Streptophyta; Magnoliopsida; Arecales; Arecaceae
Description: long non-coding RNA (EGUI_LNC047722)
Source: RNAcentral